This is a long non-coding RNA of Heteronotia binoei (common prickly gecko), 635 nucleotides long. RefSeq lists it as uncharacterized. Lineage: Eukaryota; Metazoa; Chordata; Lepidosauria; Squamata; Gekkonidae. The transcript is spliced from 3 exons. The record is from RefSeq and is a predicted model, not a curated record.
GGGUCACAGGAAGGGAAUUGCCAUGUUUGUAUCCCAGGUUAGUCAUUAAUGAAAUUUCAUCAUGGAAUUUUCUGCAAACCUUAAUAAAUACAGACUCUCCACUGAUAUUUCAAACAUUCUUCUUCAGAGCCCAGAAAAAACACAACUCCAGCAAUCUUCCAUCAGCCAUGAGGUUCCUCUUUCUUUUCUUUGCUGUCUUCUUAUUCUGCUUUCAAACAGUUCAAGGAGAUGAUUCAGCAGAUACCAUAGCAUGCAGACGGGGUGGAGGUUUCUGUACUCCUCAGCCAUGUCCAGCACAUUCUGAGCUUACUGGAGGAACAUGUGUGGAUGGAAUGCUGACCUGCUGUAAAUGGCCUCAGAGAGAGAGUCGCUCAGAUUGAUUCAGUAACAAUAAACAACAAAAGACCCCUGGGAUGAUGAAGAAAGCCUACCUAUUUCUGAAACUGAUACCAACCUCCAACUGCUGAAUAAAGAAUACAUCAUAUUAUGGAGUGUGAAAAAAGUACCAGGGAAAAUUUGGACUCCAUCUGCAUUCAGUCUGUGGAAUAAAAUGAAAGUGUAGUAAAAUCAUAAAACUUGGCCCCACAAUACAUAUGCAGAAUAUGCUGAAAUAAAAAACUGAUUCCAGUUUCCAA